This 467-nucleotide ribosomal RNA is filed under the name uncultured bacterium. Its description in RNAcentral is "partial 16S ribosomal RNA". It matches the Rfam family "Bacterial small subunit ribosomal RNA", at positions 28 to 507 of the family's 1533-position model. The record is from RNAcentral.
GACCAACGCUGGCGGCGUGCUUAACACAUGCCAGUCGAACGGAAAGGCUCCAGCUUGCUGGAGUACUCGAGUGGCGAACGGGUGAGUAACACGUGGGUAAUCUGCCCUGCACUCUGGGAUAAGCCUGGGAAACUGGGUCUAAUACUGGAUAUGACCUUUCUCCUUAUGGGGUUUGGUGGAAAGUUUUUCGGUGUAGGAUGAGCCCGCGGCCUAUCAGCUUGUUGGUGGGGUGAUGGCCUACCAAGGCGACGACGGGUAGCCGGCCUGAGAGGGUGAUCGGCCACAUUGGGACUGAGAUACGGCCCAGACUCCUACGGGAGGCAGCAGUGGGGAAUAUUGCACAAUGGGCGGAAGCCUGAUGCAGCGACGCCGCGUGAGGGAUGACGGCCUUCGGGUUGUAAACCUCUUUCAGCAGGGACGAAGCGUAAGUGACGGUACCUGCAGAAGAAGCACCGGCUAACUAUGUG